CAACCCUACCCAAAAAAAGAAAGGGAAAAAUUUAAACUCAGAAGUCAGCACAGAUUCUCCUAAACGGAGGUCCAAACAAAAACUGUUGCUCUCUUUGGAAAUCUCCUGUCUCGUAUGAAUUUCUUCAUUAGAGGUUUCUGAAGCGAGUUUUUCCCAACUUAGGCCAGUUGCUUUGAGGUCUACGUUCUUCAAUCACCAAAGGGCUUCACUACUCCUGUUUCUGAAGCAAAUUUUUCCAAACUCAGGCCAGUUGCUUGGAGGUCUACUGUCUUCAAUCACCAAAGGGGCUUCACUAUUGGAGUUGAAUCGAAGAAAGACAUUGGCGCCCUAAACACACUAUGUAGCAUGGUCAUGAAGAGUUUCUGUGAUGUCAAGAUGCCGGCUGUUGCCACUAGCAACAUGCGGGACAAUAUACAAAUUGCACUUCCU
Long non-coding RNA from Papaver somniferum (opium poppy), 429 nucleotides. RefSeq lists it as uncharacterized. The transcript has 4 exons. The record is from RefSeq and is a predicted model, not a curated record. NCBI's taxonomy places the organism in Eukaryota, Viridiplantae, Streptophyta, Magnoliopsida, Ranunculales, Papaveraceae.